AUUAGUUAGUUGGCGGGGUAACGGCCCACCAAGACGAUGAUGCGUAGCCGACCUGAGAGGGUGACCGGCCACACUGGGACUGAGACACGGCCCAGACUCCUACGGGAGGCAGCAGUAGGGAAUUUUCGGCAAUGGGCGCAAGCCUGACCGAGCAACGCCGCGUGAGUGAUUAAGGCCUUCGGGUUGUAAAGCUCUGUUGUAAGGGAAGAACAUUCAGGAUAGGAAAUGAUCUUGAACUGACGGUACCUUACCAGAAAGCCACGGCUAACUACGUGCCAGCAGCCGCGGUAAUACGUAGGUGGCAAGCGUUAUCCGGAAUUAUUGGGCGUAAAGGGUGCGUAGGCGGUUUAUUAAGUCUAUGGUGAAAGUGCGGGGCUCAACCCCGUAUGGCCAUAGAAACUGAUAGACUUGAGUGCAGGAGAGGGCAAUGGAAUUCCAUGUGUAGCGGUAAAAUGCGUAGAUAUAUGGAGGAACACCAGUGGCGAAGGCGGUUGCCUGGCCUGUAACUGACGCUGAGGCACGAAAGCGUGGGGAGCAAAUAGGAUUAGAUACCCUAGUAGUCCACGCUGUAAAC
RNAcentral lists this ribosomal RNA (574 nucleotides) under uncultured bacterium. Its description in RNAcentral is "bacterial SSU rRNA". It matches the Rfam family "Bacterial small subunit ribosomal RNA", at positions 240 to 807 of the family's 1533-position model. The record is from RNAcentral.